RNAcentral lists this ribosomal RNA (284 nucleotides) under Roseburia faecis M72/1. RNAcentral's name for it is "partial 16S ribosomal RNA". It matches the Rfam family "Bacterial small subunit ribosomal RNA", at positions 493 to 776 of the family's 1533-position model. Lineage: Bacteria; Bacillati; Bacillota; Clostridia; Lachnospirales; Lachnospiraceae. The record is from RNAcentral.
UCUUUUCAUUGUGUGCCAGCAGCCGCGGUAAUACGUAUGGUGCAAGCGUUAUCCGGAUUUACUGGGUGUAAAGGGAGCGCAGGCGGUGCGGCAAGUCUGAUGUGAAAGCCCGGGGCUCAACCCCGGUACUGCAUUGGAAACUGUCGUACUAGAGUGUCGGAGGGGUAAGCGGAAUUCCUAGUGUAGCGGUGAAAUGCGUAGAUAUUAGGAGGAACACCAGUGGCGAAGGCGGCUUACUGGACGAUAACUGACGCUGAGGCUCGAAAGCGUGGGGAGCAAACAGG